This 387-nucleotide ribosomal RNA is filed under the name uncultured bacterium. RNAcentral describes it as "bacterial SSU rRNA". It matches the Rfam family "Bacterial small subunit ribosomal RNA", at positions 28 to 417 of the family's 1533-position model. The record is from RNAcentral.
GACGAACGCUGGCGGCGUGCUUAACACAUGCAAGUCGAGCGGUAAGGCCCUUUCGGGGGUACACGAGCGGCGAACGGGUGAGUAACACGUGGGUGACCUGCCCUCAGCUCUGGGGUAAGCCUGGGAAACCGGGUCUAAUACCGGAUAUGACUCCAUGACGCAUGUUGUGGGGUGGAAAGCCUUGUGCGGCUGAGGAUGGGCCCGCGGCCUAUCAGCUUGUUGGUGGGGUGAUGGCCACCAAGGCGACGACGGGUAGCCGGCCUGAGAGGGCGACCGGCCACACUGGGACUGAGACACGGCCCAGACUCCUACGGGAGGCAGCAGUGGGGAAUCUUGCGCAAUGGGCGAAAGCCUGACGCAGCGACGCCGCGUGAGGGAUGACGGCCU